Long non-coding RNA from Camelus dromedarius (Arabian camel), 607 nucleotides. RefSeq lists it as uncharacterized. The transcript is spliced from 3 exons. Lineage: Eukaryota; Metazoa; Chordata; Mammalia; Artiodactyla; Camelidae. The record is from RefSeq and is a predicted model, not a curated record.
UUCAAGAUAACAAUGAUUCUUUUCUUCCAUAGCUAUUCUGAUACUUAACUCUUUUGGCUGCUUUUCUAAAAUGUUCUUGCCGAAUACCAACCACGAGCUUUUAAUUAAAAGGACUUUCCCUUAAUUAGACUUGUCUAACUGGAAAGGGCUGUCCAGUGGAGAGGUUCACGUAGGAUCUGUAAUGCUGUUGCAGGGAUCCUUUCAUAGGAGAAAGUGAGACCAACUGGCCACAAGGACCCUUCAAGCUCAGGUAUGUAUGACUUAUGACAAGGUGUAAGAGACUCAGGACAAACUGGCAAAUAAACCCGAUACUAACGCUGGCUUCAAAGACAAGAAAACCACAGGAAUGAAGGUGGAGGAUGAUAACUACAUGCUGAGACCCCAGACUGGUCAGAACCUAAGGAAUGAUGAUGUUGACCUUAUCUGUUUCUCAUGACUUAAAUCAACUAAAGCUUGGCCUCUGUCAACCGCUGCCUCAAUUCUAUGUUGAAUUCUCUUCUGUUCAUCCCCUCAUGAAUAUGCAUGUGCCCUUAGCUUGAAAGGUCCUAAUUUUGCUGUUCAGGGAGACACUGCUUUGGGAAAGAUCCCCGGUAUUCUCUUCACUUGC